UCUGGAGGUGUGGGGUUUUCCAGUUGCUGCCUUCAGGAGCCUCUGAAAUGAUCUUUGGAAAUGGGAUGGGAAUGCAGACUUUGUAAAGCAGCAGGUAAAGGUGGUGUGUUUCUGCAGCUGCGUUGUGGCCUGAAGGAUGAGGAAUGAUGAGAUUCAAAUUGCAGAGGCUUUAGUGGACCCAAUGGAGAAAAGUCUUAAGUUUAAUCCUGCCAGGCGUUUUAAAACCAUGAGACGAUACACAGCACAGAUUUUAAAAGAUCAAGAGCAAUUUGUUUGUGGAGUAAAACACCAGAAAAAUGGUGUACGUCUACACAGCACAAUCCAGCCCUGAGGGCAGCCACCGGAGGUACUUUAGGUGCAAUAUAGCUUUGAUAGCAUGGAGCUUCAUAUAUAUCAGAGGGGAAAGGCAAAGUAUGGCAGCACGGCGCUGGUGUGCAGUGCUAAUUCAUCUCUGCUACUGAAAGGACCCAGCUUCAUCUAGGUACCUCUGUGUUGAAUGACACUGUGCCACAUCGACUGAAAAACUCAUUGCAUGUGGCGAAUAAGAUAGUACCACUAUUAGAGGGAGCCCCAUAAUCUAGAAAAACCUUUGGGACAGGGUAAUUGGCACACACCUUGGGGUAUGGAUGAGCACGGCUCAGAACGAGGAUGCUCCUUAGAGAAAGAGCUGAAGGACCUGAGCCCCUUUACUAGCAUGGG
Long non-coding RNA from Gymnogyps californianus (California condor), 699 nucleotides. RefSeq lists it as uncharacterized. Lineage: Eukaryota; Metazoa; Chordata; Aves; Accipitriformes; Cathartidae. The transcript is spliced from 3 exons. The record is from RefSeq and is a predicted model, not a curated record.